GCAUCCAUUGUACAUGGCUACUCCAGG
Molecule: non-coding RNA, 27 nt
Filed under: Cricetulus griseus (Chinese hamster)
Lineage: Eukaryota; Metazoa; Chordata; Mammalia; Rodentia; Cricetidae
Source: RNAcentral